GGAGGGGCGGGGCGGGGGCGCACCUGUUUGGCCAAUCGACCCCGCUACUACCACCCGCCCCGGCCGGACUGGGCAGGGCCGAUCCCCUCCGCUCUCCGCACACCAGUCCCCAGUCCCCACUUUGGCCCGGGAUCGAGGCCGGGCCACACGCCCCCUGCCAUCCCACACCACCUCGCACCCGCGAUCUGGGUCUGGCCACACCCCCUACUCCCCUCCCCCGGCUCAGGCUAGCCUGUGGAGGCCCUCUGUGUGGCCGGUGUUCCCGGGAAUUAAUCCCAGCUUUAGCCCGAGAACCAUGCGGAUAUCAGACUGAGGAGUGGGCUGCAACCCACCCCUCUUUUACUCUUCACCCUCCUCUCCCGCAAGGAUCUUCGCGCCUCGGUUGACCCCUUAAACUGCUGUGCGCCUCCCUUCGAUCUCCACCCGCAGUGGCCGUGGACUGAUGCUAGGUUCAGAGGUCCGGGAGAGGCGGGGUGGGGUCGGGGUAGGGAGGGGGUUGUGUCAAUGGGAAGGGACGUCCAACCCUCCCACCAACAAAUUCUCAACCCCAGCAGAGUUGGGGCGAACAUCUCCAGAAUGUGCUUGCGAUUAGUUUCAGCAGGUUCCCCAACUUCCUUCGGGGUCACAGUCAAAUUUAAAGCGGGACGGUUUUAUUGUCCCAUUCUCCAGAUAGGAAGACUGAGGCCAAAGGGAGGGAAGAACUUUUCGUACGUGGUGACGAGACUGCGACUUUUUUCAAAUCAAAGGGCCCCCAGCUGGAGCUGAAGUCCUUUGGCGGUUACCAUCAGAAGAAACUGAAGGUUCUGAGCUGUCUGUUCCACCCCCAGGGUUGCCAGAGCAACCAGCCCCUUCCUGAGCUUUUAUCCUGACCGUCUGUCUGAGCCCAGCUCCCUCACCCAUGAAUCAUAAAGUCCCCCCAACAGGUG
This 926-nucleotide long non-coding RNA is filed under the name Capra hircus (goat). Its description in RNAcentral is "lncRNA (ENSCHIG00000004975.1)". The record is from RNAcentral. Lineage: Eukaryota; Metazoa; Chordata; Mammalia; Artiodactyla; Bovidae.